RNAcentral lists this long non-coding RNA (475 nucleotides) under Felis catus (domestic cat). Its description in RNAcentral is "lncRNA (ENSFCAG00000048528.1)". Lineage: Eukaryota; Metazoa; Chordata; Mammalia; Carnivora; Felidae. The record is from RNAcentral.
CUUAUAAAGGUGCACACUGGCACUUGUUAUCACAGACUGCAAGUAACUGCAAGGUUAGGGAAAGAGUGGGGGGUGGAUCCUGAAGGCAGUGGAAGGUAUCUAGCAGAUAGAACUUGGAAGAGGUUCCUACAUUCCCAUGCCUUUCUCAUUGGUUACUCUUUCCUAUCAGGACACUGGUGAUACCAGAACCAUCUACAAUGAAUGUGAGACUCAAGCUGCCUAUAACCAGCCAUGGGUUCAGAACGAAUGGCAAUUAUCCAACUUGGUUCAGAAGCAAGGCAGAGUCUGAGUCCUGCUGUGGAAUGUACAUGUUGUGAAAUUCCAGCACAUUAUGAGAACACAAACUUUUUCUCUUACCAGUGGGAUUUAUCAGCACAGAAUCUUUUACUUGAAGCCAGCAAAAUUUUCAGCGUAGGCAGGAGCAGUGUAAUGAACCUCUGUUCAUGAAUAAAGGCGUUUUUCACCUGCUGAGGCC